GAUGAAGAACGUAGCGAAAUGCGAUAAGUAAUGCGAAUUGCAGAAUUCAGUGAGUCAUCGAAUCUUUGAACGCACAUUGCGCCCGCUAGUAUUCUGGCGGGCAUGCCUGUCCGAGCGUCAUUUCAACCCAUCAAGCUUAGCGCUUGUGUUGGAGCCCUGCGGCCGCCGCAGCCUCCUAAAAUCAGUGGCGGGUUCGCUAUCACGCUGAGUGCAGUAGUAUUCUUCUCACUCCUGUGGUGUAGCGGGUAACCAGCCGUAAACCCCCCCAUCUAUAAAGGUUGACCUCGGAUCAGGUAGGAAUACCCGCUGAACUUAAGCAUAUCAAUAAGCGGAGGA
This 336-nucleotide unclassified non-coding RNA is filed under the name soil metagenome. Its description in RNAcentral is "partial contains 5.8S ribosomal RNA, internal transcribed spacer 2, and large subunit ribosomal RNA". The stretch from base 1 to 120 matches the Rfam family "5.8S ribosomal RNA", at positions 35 to 154 of the family's 154-position model. The record is from RNAcentral.